AUGACGGAGACACGGGACAGCAGUAAUGGCACCUGUAUCCAUCUGCUCUGCUCUAUGGAGGGUCCGACGACUGAGUUGGUGAACUUCACCUGGAGCCAAGAGGGUCAUGGGUCACUUCAUCCAUUCACAUCUAAUGCCAUGAAGAGCGAGCUGCAUCUGUGUAAACCUGACUGGAAUGACGGAGACACAAUCACCUGUUACGCCAAUUACUCAAGAACACAAACCCAAAGAAGUAUACAACUCACUUCACAGAAAGAAUCUGUCAACGAUGUCCUGCUGCUGAUCAUCUCAGUCAGUUCUGCUGCAGGCCUCAUCCUGUGCAUCAUCCUUACCGUUGUUAUUUGCAAAUGCAGAAAGCGAGACGAAAGUGGAUCUAUAGUGUUCAGCAAUAAAGUCUAUGAGAACUUCAGUUUCGCCAUGGCCCGUCAGAACACACAGUCCAAUGAUAAACCACAGACAGAAGAGUGUAUUUAUGAGAACUAA
This is a long non-coding RNA of Cyprinus carpio (common carp), 483 nucleotides long. NCBI's taxonomy places the organism in Eukaryota, Metazoa, Chordata, Actinopteri, Cypriniformes, Cyprinidae. The record is from Ensembl.